This 284-nucleotide ribosomal RNA is filed under the name Ixodes ricinus (castor bean tick). Its description in RNAcentral is "partial small subunit ribosomal RNA". The record is from RNAcentral. Lineage: Eukaryota; Metazoa; Arthropoda; Arachnida; Ixodida; Ixodidae.
AAAAUAAAAUUUGAUUUUAAAAAAAUUUAUUUUUUAAACUAGGAUUAGAUACCCUAUUAUUUUAAGCUUAAUGUUGGUAGUAAGUAAAAUUUAUGAAAUCAUAAAAUUUUGGCGGUAUUUUAAGCUUGUUAGAGGAAUUUGCUCUAUAAUGGAUACAACGCCUACAUCUUACUUAAUUUUGUAAUUAAAGUCAGUUUGUAUACCACUAUAUUUAAUUAUAUUGAAUAAUUAUAUUUAAGAUUUUUAUAUAAAUAUAUAUUAAGUCAAGGUGCAACAAAUAAUUA